GGUUCCGUAGCUCAACUGGAUAGAGCACUUGCCUUCUAAGCAGGGGGUUGCUGGUUCGAGCCCAGCCGGAAUCACCA
RNAcentral lists this transfer RNA (77 nucleotides) under Micavibrio aeruginosavorus. RNAcentral's name for it is "tRNA-Arg". It matches the Rfam family "tRNA". Rfam says of the family: Transfer RNA (tRNA) molecules are approximately 80 nucleotides in length. The record is from RNAcentral. Lineage: Bacteria; Pseudomonadati; Bdellovibrionota; Bdellovibrionia; Bdellovibrionales; Pseudobdellovibrionaceae.